Long non-coding RNA from Melitaea cinxia (Glanville fritillary), 248 nucleotides. RefSeq lists it as uncharacterized. Lineage: Eukaryota; Metazoa; Arthropoda; Insecta; Lepidoptera; Nymphalidae. The transcript has 2 exons. The record is from RefSeq and is a predicted model, not a curated record.
CACUGCGAAAACUGUCGCCGCAACGGGCACACUACUGCAGCCUGCUGGUUUGGCGCUGGGACAUCGCGACCGCAAUUAAGACAGAAUUCGAGGCUCAGCACCGGAGAACAGUAGUACAAGGGCCGUGGGACACAGCCUACACAGGAUGGCCGAGUGUUAUCAAGUAUACAAUAGUCGCCCAACGGUUAUGACGUAGUUCAUAUUUUUUUGUAAUCUAUACAUAUAAUAAAAUGGUAGGAAAGUCAAAA